UACGUAGGGGGCGAGCGUUGUCCGGAGUUACUGGGCGUAAAGGGCACGCAGGCGGUCUGACGCGUUUGGAGUGACAGCUCUGGGCUUAACCCAGAGAGCGUUUCAAAAACGGUUGGACUUGAGGGCCAGAGAGGGACAUGGAACUCCGGGUGGAGUGGUGAAAUGCGUAGAGAUCCGGAAGAACACCAAAGGCGAAGGCAGUGUCCUGGCUGGUACCUGACGCUCAGGUGCGAAAGCGAGGGGAGCGAACGGG
Molecule: ribosomal RNA, 253 nt
Filed under: uncultured prokaryote
Description: partial 16S ribosomal RNA
Rfam family: Bacterial small subunit ribosomal RNA
Source: RNAcentral